This is a long non-coding RNA of Triticum aestivum (bread wheat), 154 nucleotides long. RefSeq lists it as uncharacterized. The record is from RefSeq and is a predicted model, not a curated record. Lineage: Eukaryota; Viridiplantae; Streptophyta; Magnoliopsida; Poales; Poaceae. The transcript is spliced from 2 exons.
ACCAAGGUGUUAGGAGCUAGGGUUCUGCCGGUUCUAGGGCGGAGAUUGUAGGGGUAAGAUGGAGGAAGACGAGGACGAGGGCGCGGCGGCCGGCGGCUGGGCGCCGUCCUUGCGUGGUGGAGAAGAGGCGGCGGCGGCGCAAGAGGCGGCUAGG